GGUUUGUGGCUCAGCGGUAGAGCGCUUGCCUAGCUAAGUGCGAGGUCCUGGGUUCGAUCCUCAGCACCA
RNAcentral lists this transfer RNA (69 nucleotides) under Marmota monax (woodchuck). Its description in RNAcentral is "tRNA.Undet". Lineage: Eukaryota; Metazoa; Chordata; Mammalia; Rodentia; Sciuridae. The record is from RNAcentral.